GGUGGCUCAGUGGUAGAGUGCUUGUUUUGCAUUCAUGAAGCUCUGAGUUCCAUUCCUCAGCACCA
RNAcentral lists this transfer RNA (65 nucleotides) under Dipodomys ordii (Ord's kangaroo rat). It matches the Rfam family "tRNA". From Rfam's summary of the family: Transfer RNA (tRNA) molecules are approximately 80 nucleotides in length. Their secondary structure includes four short double-helical elements and three loops (D, anti-codon, and T loops). Further hydrogen bonds mediate the characteristic L-shaped molecular structure. tRNAs have two regions of fundamental functional importance: the anti-codon, which is responsible for specific mRNA codon recognition, and the 3' end, to which the tRNAs corresponding amino acid is attached (by aminoacyl-tRNA synthetases). tRNAs cope with the degeneracy of the genetic code in two manners: having more than one tRNA (with a specific anti-codon) for a particular amino acid; and 'wobble' base-pairing, i.e. permitting non-standard base-pairing at the 3rd anti-codon position. The record is from Rfam by way of RNAcentral. Lineage: Eukaryota; Metazoa; Chordata; Mammalia; Rodentia; Heteromyidae.